RNAcentral lists this ribosomal RNA (1486 nucleotides) under uncultured organism. Its description in RNAcentral is "SSU rRNA". It matches the Rfam family "Bacterial small subunit ribosomal RNA". The record is from RNAcentral.
CGAACGCUGGCGGCGUGCCUAAUACAUGCAAGUCGAACGCUUCUUUCCUCCCGAGUGCUUGCACUCAAUUGGAAAGAGGAGUGGCGGACGGGUGAGUAACACGUGGGUAACCUACCCAUCAGAGGGGGAUAACACUUGGAAACAGGUGCUAAUACCGCAUAACAGUUUAUGCCGCAUGGCAUAAGAGUGAAAGGCGCUUUCGGGUGUCGUUGAUGGAUGGACCCGCGGUGCAUUAGCUAGUUGGUGAGGUAACGGCUCACCAAGGCCACGAUGCAUAGCCGACCUGAGAGGGUGAUCGGCCACACUGGGACUGAGGCACGGCCCAGACUCCUACGGGAGGCAGCAGUAGGGAAUCUUCGGCAAUGGACGAAAGUCUGACCGAGCAACGCCGCGUGAGUGAAGAAGGUUUUCGGAUCGUAAAACUCUGUUGUUAGAGAAGAACAAGGACGUUAGUAACUGAACGUCCCCUGACGGUAUCUAACCAGAAAGCCACGGCUAACUACGUGCCAGCAGCCGCGGUAAUACGUAGGUGGCAAGCGUUGUCCGGAUUUAUUGGGCGUAAAGCGAGCGCAGGCGGUUUCUUAAGUCUGAUGUGAAAGCCCCCGGCUCAACCGGGGAGGGUCAUUGGAAACUGGGAGACUUGAGUGCAGAAGAGGAGAGUGGAAUUCCAUGUGUAGCGGUGAAAUGCGUAGAUAUAUGGAGGAACACCAGUGGCGAAGGCGGCUCUCUGGUCUGUAACUGACGCUGAGGCUCGAAAGCGUGGGGAGCAAACAGGAUUAGAUACCCCUGGUAGUCCACGCCGUAAACGAUGAGUGCUAAGUGUUGGAGGGUUUCCGCCCUUCAGUGCUGCAGCAAACGCAUUAAGCACUCCGCCUGGGGAGUACGACCGCAAGGUUGAAACUCAAAGGAAUUGACGGGGGCCCGCACAAGCGGUGGAGCAUGUGGUUUAAUUCGAAGCAACGCGAAGAACCUUACCAGGUCUUGACAUCCUUUGACCACUCUAGAGAUAGAGCUUUCCCUUCGGGGACAAAGUGACAGGUGGUGCAUGGUUGUCGUCAGCUCGUGUCGUGAGAUGUUGGGUUAAGUCCCGCAACGAGCGCAACCCUUAUUGUUAGUUGCCAUCAUUUAGUUGGGCACUCUAGCGAGACUGCCGGUGACAAACCGGAGGAAGGUGGGGAUGACGUCAAAUCAUCAUGCCCCUUAUGACCUGGGCUACACACGUGCUACAAUGGGAAGUACAACGAGUCGCUAGACCGCGAGGUCAUGCAAAUCUCUUAAAGCUUCUCUCAGUUCGGAUUGCAGGCUGCAACUCGCCUGCAUGAAGCCGGAAUCGCUAGUAAUCGCGGAUCAGCACGCCGCGGUGAAUACGUUCCCGGGCCUUGUACAUACCGCCCGUCACACCACGAGAGUUUGUAACACCCGAAGUCGGUGAGGUAACCUUUUUGGAGCCAGCCGCCUAAGGUGGGAUAGAUGAUUGGGGUGAAGU